UUGCAUACACUAGCGAAACUGAGCUAAAGGAAUCCAAUAAAAAUAGGUCCGAAUGAUAUAACAACGCAAGGUUUUAGGCAGGAUUCUACUUAGAACUAGUUUUUUUGGUUUAAUUUCGGUUAUGUUUAAAUUGAAAGUACAAUUCACAGUUAAGUAAAAAAAAUCAAUUUGAAAAACUUCUACAUGAAGUCUCUUAUACCCUGAAUUUACACUAUGUAUGUAAAUAAUACACCUGAAGAAUGUUAGUGCAUAACUGCUUGGCAAACUUUCUUUACGAAGUCUCCUAACCGCAAAUUCUAAAAUCGAAUAACUAAAUUAUAUAGCAGUAAACCUUUAAUUAAACAAUAAAUUAACGUUUUGAGUACUUAAUAUAUAUAAAUAAACACUUACAUGUCAAAUUAACAUUUUAAAAAAUAUAUAUAAGAAUCCAAAAUCUAAUCCUAUAUUUAAAAAUAUUAAAUGAAAUUGUAUUUUAAAUAUAUUUACAUCCAUAAAUAUUAUAUUUUAUUGGUAAUAAAUUUUUACUCAAGUAUAUAAAUAUAACAACAUUUUUUUCAUAAAUCAUAAGCUAAAUUAAAACAAAACCAGCACUAAAUUAUUACAUGAAACAAAGAGUGAAAAAAGUCAACCCAACAUUUGCCUUUGAUGUUGAUAGGAGUCUGCCAACAUUUGACAAACGAACAACACUAUGAUCGAUGUAUAUAAUCAGGAGGAUGUGAUGUGAGGGAAGGGUACACCGCAAACGCACUCAAUUAUUACACGAAACAAAGAGUGAUAAAAGUCAAACCAACAUUUUCGUCCCGCGGUUAUGCAAGUCUUCAAUUCCGGACACACGUUGGACGUUCUUAUACAUAAGUUAUGUCUCACCACUUUGCUUGUAGAUCAAUAACAUCUUUAGUUAAGAGUUUGCUUUUGUAUCCGUUUGGUUUUUGGAAAAAAAAAAGUUGCAUACACUAGCGAAACUGAGCUAAAGGAAUCCAAUAAAAAUAGGUCCGAAUGAUAUAACAACGCAAGGUUUUAGGCAGGAUUCUACUUAGAACUAGAGAUUAAACACAAAACUUCGUAACAUCACUCGAUCACAUAGUUGGGAGCAACGGCCAAGAUCCUCUCAUCUCUUCUUCUUGGUUCUUCACCUUCUGCUUCUUGCUCAUUGGAUAACACUAUAAGGUGGCCUUCUUUACAUACCAAACUCUGUAAUGCACAUGUAUAUAUGUUCUGGUGUUAAGUAGAAACAUAAAAUUUUACAACAAUCUUCAUUUGCAAAAUUUGUUUUGGAUUUACCUCAAUAAUGGCUCUGAGUUUCUUGAUAUCGAGUUUGACUUGCUCUUGCGAAGUGUACUUCUUUUUCUCGUUCUGCUGAUCGAUGUACCAUCGAAUCAGCUCCUUUUGUCUCAUUCCAGGCAAUUCAGAACCUAAAAGAAGAAAAAGAGUUCAUUUGUUUUAAACGUUGAGGAGAGCAAGAAAUGGUUGCGAGGACUGAUGAGUGAUGUAACUUACAGUCUUUUCAAUUAUAUGCUAAAGGAUAAAUCAAUUAGUUAUGUGGCGGAUGUUCAAUAAUUCUUUUUAUGUUUAAUAGAUUUUUGAUAGACAACAAAGUUCAAAUUAUUUCACAUAAGUAUUAGGCUGCCCAAAAGAUCAAAUUAUUUCACGGAAGAGUUAACCCAUUGAGGUCAUAAGAGUCUUAUCUUUUCAUUUUUUUUCUGUGGUCUACUAGCUAAAAUUCAUGUAUUGCCUAAUAUGAUGAUAUAUUUUCAUAAAUUAUAGGUAUUUUUUGAACAUUUAAUUACAUGUGUUACCUAAUACAGAUUCUGAAGAUGAUCUGUUUUUUUUAUAAAUUUCAUGGCUUAGACUUUUCUUAAAAAAUAGUUUGUUUCCUCCACCAUGCGCAUAAAUAGAUGUUUCAAAAUUAUUAUAUCUAUAAUUAUAUAUAGGUUUCAUUUUAUCAAUUUAAAAAUAAAUUCAUAAAUAAUUAUUCAUAAUUAUAAUUAUUUAUUAUUUAUUUUCCAUUUGAUUUAAAGAUAUUUAAUUUGAUUUUUGGUUAGUUAUAUUAAGUGAAGUUAAAUUAAAAUAAAAAAACUUAUUUAUAUAUAUAUAUAUAUAAACUAUAGUUCCGAAUAUAUAAUUUUAAAAUUUAUUACAUCAAUAAACUGUAACAUUUUAUUUAUGGCAAUAAAUCAAUAAUCCUCAAACAAUAAUUAUUGUAUAGCAUUUAAAUCCAAAUAAGUUCAAUAGAUUUAAAAUUUUAUUAAUCAUCUAUAUACCUUUGGAUCCAAGUAUGACUUAAAUAUUUAACCUUUCAUAAAAAAAUUAUCAAAUUGUCAUAGUUUAUUUGUUAAUAUAUUUUAUAAUGAAUUUGGAUAAAAAUAUAAAUAAUUACACAAAAUUACUUACUUUUAUCAUAAAUUCAUCUAAUAAAACUUUCUAGGUACAGUUAUAUUAUUUUUAAAAAUGUAUUAAUAAUUCUAAACAUAAUUUACGUUUAUGGUAUGUAGCCAGAUUAUAGAAUUAUCUUAGUUUAAGAAUUUUAUCAAAAGUCAAAGUCUUUAUGGUUAAAUCAUGUCAUAAUAAAUAAAAAGAAAUAUGUCAUCAUUUUGAUUAAAUUAUAUAACCAUUUGUCUUUCAAAUGAAUAUGGUGAUGAUGUAUAUAAACAAAUUUUUUUUUAAGAAAAUCACAUUUCAAAUAGUUGAUUAAGGGAUAUACCGUCUUACGAAUCCACAACCUCCCAAACAUUAAAAGAAAGUUGGUCCGACAUGCCCCGUAUAAUUUAUGUGAAUGUCGUUUUCUAAUAUAGUUUUAAAAACAUUUGUUUGUUUAUAAUAUGGAAAUAUCUAGUUUACUUUUGUGCAACUUGUAGCGUAUGUACGAUAAAGAAUUAAACAAUAACUUUUGUGGCGGCUGUUUAGUAAUGACUAAUUUCGAUUAUUAGAUAAAUUAUAAUCUAUUUUUUUCAAAAACAUAAAAAAAAAUGCUUCAAAUGAGAGAAAAAACUUCAAAAAUCUAAAAUUUUAGACUGGUAUAGUAAGAAACAAUCUUACCAAGUUAUUCUUUAAACCUGACAUAAAUACAAAAAUACACAUCCAGUGGCCAGUGGCGGACCCAUGAUUGAAUUUUACAUGGGUCAAACUAUGUUAACUAUAAAGAAAAAAAUAAAUAAAAAGUGUCACCACUACGUUUCGUUCCAUGGUCUGGGGUGUCACAUGUGAAACUUUACCAACAGAGCUGCUGGAUACUAAUAGCUUUAGUAAACAAAAUAAAUGAUAUAGAGAUUUAAGCUCCAAUGGCUUACAUGGGUCUGCCUUUGUACACAUCUAAAAUCUUUAUAUCUAUCUUUUUAAGACAGGAAAAUAAAAAUAAUGGAAUGAAAAACCUGCAAAAAUAAGAUAAAAUUGUGAACAUGAGACAAUGAGAUAAGUAAUUGAUAUAUUGCUUUGUGUCUUCAAAUUAAAUAAAUUACAUAUAGGUUAGAGAGUUUUAAAAAGAAAAACAUUAGAUUUUUGUUACGACCAUUUAAAAAGAUAGACUGUGUAGUUUUUUUCUAUAUAAAUGAUAAAAAUCUCAAUUAGAUUUAAAUAAUUGGUGUAGGGGACAUCAUGGAAAAUUUACUCAAUCGAGUAUACUUCACAUAAAGUCUUUUAAACCAUAACUUAUAAUUAAACUCUUAUUUCAUGAAUUUUUUUUGGUUUAAUUUCGGUUAUGUUUAAAUUGAAAGUACAAUUCACAGUUAAGUAAAAAAAAUCAAUUUGAAAAACUUCUACAUGAAGUCUCUUAUACCCUGAAUUUACACUAUGUAUGUAAAUAAUACACCUGAAGAAUGUUAGUGCAUAACUGCUUGGCAAACUUUCUUUACGAAGUCUCCUAACCGCAAAUUCUAAAAUCGAAUAACUAAAUUAUAUAGCAGUAAACCUUUAAUUAAACAAUAAAUUAACGUUUUGAGUACUUAAUAUAUAUAAAUAAACACUUACAUGUCAAAUUAACAUUUUAAAAAAUAUAUAUAAGAAUCCAAAAUCUAAUCCUAUAUUUAAAAAUAUUAAAUGAAAUUGUAUUUUAAAUAUAUUUACAUCCAUAAAUAUUAUAUUUUAUUGGUAAUAAAUUUUUACUCAAGUAUAUAAAUAUAACAACAUUUUUUUCAUAAAUCAUAAGCUAAAUUAAAACAAAACCAGCACUAAAUUAUUACAUGAAACAAAGAGUGAAAAAAGUCAACCCAACAUUUGCCUUUGAUGUUGAUAGGAGUCUGCCAACAUUUGACAAACGAACAACACUAUGAUCGAUGUAUAUAAUCAGGAGGAUGUGAUGUGAGGGAAGGGUACACCGCAAACGCACUCAAUUAUUACACGAAACAAAGAGUGAUAAAAGUCAAACCAACAUUUUCGUCCCGCGGUUAUGCAAGUCUUCAAUUCCGGACACACGUUGGACGUUCUUAUACAUAAGUUAUGUCUCACCACUUUGCUUGUAGAUCAAUAACAUCUUUAGUUAAGAGUUUGCUUUUGUAUCCGUUUGGUUUUUGGAAAAAAAAAAGUUGCAUACACUAGCGAAACUGAGCUAAAGGAAUCCAAUAAAAAUAGGUCCGAAUGAUAUAACAACGCAAGGUUUUAGGCAGGAUUCUACUUAGAACUAGAGAUUAAACACAAAACUUCGUAACAUCACUCGAUCACAUAGUUGGGAGCAACGGCCAAGAUCCUCUCAUCUCUUCUUCUUGGUUCUUCACCUUCUGCUUCUUGCUCAUUGGAUAACACUAUAAGGUGGCCUUCUUUACAUACCAAAC
RNAcentral lists this long non-coding RNA (4763 nucleotides) under Brassica napus (rape). Its description in RNAcentral is "long non-coding RNA (BNAP_LNC026886)". The record is from RNAcentral. Lineage: Eukaryota; Viridiplantae; Streptophyta; Magnoliopsida; Brassicales; Brassicaceae.